GGAAUCUUGCGCAAUGGGCGAAAGCCUGACGCAGCAACGCCGCGUGAGGGAUGAAGGCUCUAGGGUCGUAAACCUCUUUUCUCAGGGAAGACUAAGGACGGUACCUGAGGAAUAAGCCACGGCUAACUACGUGCCAGCAGCCGCGGUAAUACGUAGGUGGCAAGCGUUGUCCGGAAUUACUGGGCGUAAAGGGUCCGUAGGCGGUUCGGUAAGUCUCUUGUGAAAACCCCAGGCUCAACUUGGGGACGCCGAGGGAUACUGCCGGACUUGAGAUUGUCAGAGGCGAACGGAAUUCCCGGUGUAGUGGUGAAAUGCGUAGAUAUCGGGAGGAACUCCAGUGGCGAAAGCGGUUCGCUGGGACACAUCUGACGCUGAGGGACGAAAGCGUGGGGAGCA
This 396-nucleotide ribosomal RNA is filed under the name uncultured bacterium. RNAcentral describes it as "bacterial SSU rRNA". It matches the Rfam family "Bacterial small subunit ribosomal RNA", at positions 358 to 770 of the family's 1533-position model. The record is from RNAcentral.